AUGACGGCGACUCAGAUAUGUGCGUACGCGGCAGAGGCGGCAGAUCCGGCAGUAAGAGCUGUUGCUACUCUUCCAUUUGUCCACCAUCUGGUCGUCCUUGACUCAGCCAUGCCCCCCUAGUCGUCCUCGUCUCUGAUGCCGGUUAUGGAUGCAAGGAUGCGUCUGGUACUUCAGACGGGAGCACUGAUAGCUGUGAUUCAGGCAUGGGUCAUGUUCAUGCACAAGAGAGUUGUUUGUCAUGCUGAGAGACCCGUCAUCAGAUAUGGUCCAAUGCUUAUGCGGGAGCAGGAAAGAAUCUCCAAUCUGAACUACAUAUACAACUGUAAUGACAUAGAGACUCUGUGGAUGCUUAGAAUGAAAAGAGCACUAUUUGCCAGACUUGUUCAGACCUUCAGGCAGGGGCUGCUAGAAGAUAGCAUCCACACCAGUGUGGAUGAGCAAGUGGCCAUGUUCCUUCAUAUUGUUGGCCAUAACCAGAGGUUCAGAGUUAUCCACACCACGUUCAAGAGGUCAAUGAAGACCAUCUUAAGGUACUUCAAGCAAGUGUUGUAUGCUGUUGGGGAGCUCAGAAGAGAGAUGGUCAAGUCACCAACUGGCCAGACUCCUACCAAGAUUCGCACAAGCCCAAGAUGGUAUCCAUACUUCAAGGUGAGCACUACAGUAUGUAGUUCAUUGCUUGAUAUGCUUGGAUAG
Molecule: ribosomal RNA, 693 nt
Filed under: Triticum aestivum (bread wheat)
Lineage: Eukaryota; Viridiplantae; Streptophyta; Magnoliopsida; Poales; Poaceae
Description: partial small subunit ribosomal RNA
Source: RNAcentral